GUGGAACAGCCAGAUCCCGCGAGGUGUGACCAAGAGCAGGCUCCUGGACCAAAAUCCACCUGGGCAUGCAACUGUGAAAACCGCAAACCAGAAAACUCUCCCUCUGACCAGAGCACACGAGAAAUCCCCUCCUAAGGGGAAGGCAAUCGAUGACCACACACACCCACUGUGCUUCAUUUACUCCAAAUGGGCCCUUCCAUCAGGAAGAUGGCUUCCAACCAGAUCUAGUGUGGGGCCUCCCUACCCCGACAGGCCGCUGUGUGGCAGAGAACAGCAGUGACGCUGACCUUUGAGGGAACACUGCACUUGCAGGGGGACAGGAAGGACCUCAAAUCCACCUACCUCGAUGCCCACCUCUCAUGAGGUCAGAAAAGCCAACCAACAUUCCCUCUACUCGCGGACUUCUCCAGUGGACUGUUCAAACCCUGGGGCUUCUCAUUCUCAACUGGCUCAAGAACGUCAGCUCCAUGUGGAUUGAGAAACAUUUCAGUCAACAACUGAGUCCUGAGCUUGUUUUUAGGUCUUCUGGAUUCUACAGCUUCAUGUCUAAGUCAAACAGGACCAACUAUUAGAAAAUAUAAGGUACUAAGAAUCAUUAAAACAUUCCUGACAUUUCCAAAAGGGAGAAAAGCCAUCCCAUCAUCAUUUAUUAAAUAACAUAUGUUAUGGUCUGAAUUUUAAA
Molecule: long non-coding RNA, 682 nt
Organism: Marmota monax (woodchuck)
Lineage: Eukaryota; Metazoa; Chordata; Mammalia; Rodentia; Sciuridae
Exons: 2
Source: RefSeq, a predicted model, not a curated record